GUGGUUGUAGCUCAGUUGGUUAGAGCGUUGGACUGUGGCUCCAAAGGUCGGGGGUUCGAGUCCCCUCAGCCACCCCA
Molecule: transfer RNA, 77 nt
Filed under: Actinomycetota bacterium
Lineage: Bacteria; Bacillati; Actinomycetota
Description: tRNA-His
Rfam family: tRNA
About the family: Transfer RNA (tRNA) molecules are approximately 80 nucleotides in length. Their secondary structure includes four short double-helical elements and three loops (D, anti-codon, and T loops).
Source: RNAcentral